ACCAUCUUCAAAAAUGUAGGAGCCCACAGCAGAAACCACAGCCGCCGUCCCAAAACCACCCGCCUCGAUAAUUUCACCAGAUUCAAUAUCAGCGAUAAAUUUAUCCAGCAU
This 111-nucleotide ribosomal RNA is filed under the name Shewanella putrefaciens. Lineage: Bacteria; Pseudomonadati; Pseudomonadota; Gammaproteobacteria; Alteromonadales; Shewanellaceae. The record is from RNAcentral.